Molecule: ribosomal RNA, 460 nt
Filed under: uncultured bacterium
Lineage: Bacteria
Description: partial 16S ribosomal RNA
Rfam family: Bacterial small subunit ribosomal RNA
Source: RNAcentral
CCUACGGGUGGCAGCAGUGAGGAAUAUUGGUCAAUGGACGAGAGUCUGAACCAGCCAAGUAGCGUGAAGGAUGACUGCCCUAUGGGUUGUAAACUUCUUUUAUCUGGGAAUAAAAUGGUCCACGUGUGGGAUUUUGUAUGUACCAUAUGAAUAAGGAUCGGCUAACUCCGUGCCAGCAGCCGCGGUAAUACGGAGGAUCCGAGCGUUUUCCGGAUUUAUUGGGUUUAAAGGGAGCGUAGGUGGAUUGUUAAGUCAGUUGUGAAAGUUUGCGGCUCAACCGUAAAAUUGCAGUUGAAACUGGCAGUCUUGAGUACAGUAGAGGUGGGCGGAAUUCGUGGUGUAGCGGUGAAAUGCUUAGAUAUCACGAAGAACUCCGAUUGCGAAGGCAGUUCACUGGACUGCAACUGACACUGAGGCUCGAAAGUGUGGGUAUCAAACAGGAUUAGAUACCCUGGUAGUC